Molecule: long non-coding RNA, 443 nt
Filed under: Struthio camelus australis
Lineage: Eukaryota; Metazoa; Chordata; Aves; Struthioniformes; Struthionidae
Description: lncRNA (ENSSCUG00000012567.1)
Source: RNAcentral
UGCAUUUCAAGGGAUAAGAGGAAAGAAGCACAGUAGCUACUUAAUUUAGAAAACAUAUUUGAAUAGGCUGAAGAGCCAGCAUAAUCAUGCUAGACAAAUAACCGAGAGUUAUUCACCAUAUCAUCAGCUGAGCCAUUUUGUGCUGUGACUCCUCCUGACCUCAUAAGGUGUUUUUUAGAGCGUUCUUGGAAAAUGAAAUGGUUUUAUAAGAUGAUACCAGCUGAGCAGUGGCACAAAGAUCAAGUAAUGACAGAGCAUUUCUUCAUCUGACGAUCCAGUGGAGAAGAGACCACAAACAGAAAGCUGUGGCAGCCUGACAGUUUGAAUUGUGCAAGUAUCAGAGUUUAAGUCUUCAUUGUCUUCAGCUUUUGAGAAUAUAAUUAGAUCUGCCUCCUGUAAUGAUAUCUAAUAAAAUCAAGAUUCUUUCAUACUGAUUAUGUAGA